Long non-coding RNA from Cotesia glomerata, 378 nucleotides. RefSeq lists it as uncharacterized. Lineage: Eukaryota; Metazoa; Arthropoda; Insecta; Hymenoptera; Braconidae. The record is from RefSeq and is a predicted model, not a curated record. The transcript is spliced from 2 exons.
AUUAGACAGCUUUUAACCUUGAAAUUUGAAUUAUUGAUACAAAAAACCAAAAUUCCCUUGAUAGUGUUAAGAAGACUUUGAAUGCUGCAACCAAAAGUGUUUUGCGAUUGUAAACAUCGGGUUCAAUAGCUGUAUUUCUGUGCCAGAAGGUUACUUUUCCACAACGUCGAAACCAACCGUAAGAAGAAAGCCGCGUUGUGGUUCUAAUGGAUACAUUUGCUUACGGAGCAGUCAUUGCUGCUCUGAAAUCUGCGUCAGGUUCGCAGGAAGUCACUCGCCAGGCAUCUGCAGAUCCAAAGGAUCUUUUUUUGAUGAAUAAUAUGUAGUUACUUGUAAAAUGAAUAAAAAUGAUGGAAAACUCCGUCGGAAUUGAAAUCA